GGAGAGAGAUUGGACGGUCUGGAAGUCAACGUCGUUUGAGGACUUCUGUCUGUCCACCUGCAGCUGGGCAAGCCGACGGUUGAUUUCUUCGAACCUACGUUCGUAGUCGUCGAUUCGUCGGUGCUGAGAGACCCCGGGGGUGGAGUCUCCCGAUAAGUCUGAGAGAGAGGCGGACGGUGUUCGUUGUCGCUUUUCGUUCCUCGCUCGUUCCAGCU
This 215-nucleotide long non-coding RNA is filed under the name Elaeis guineensis (African oil palm). RNAcentral's name for it is "long non-coding RNA (EGUI_LNC010813)". The record is from RNAcentral. Lineage: Eukaryota; Viridiplantae; Streptophyta; Magnoliopsida; Arecales; Arecaceae.